ACACAGCUGGGUUUGUUUGGUUCUGAGACUAAGUAGCUCAGGUCAGGUCAGCUGGGUCCCCGAGAAAGGAGGAGACAAUUAGGUCAGAGACCAGACCAGACCAGAUCAGAGGCUUUAUUUAAAAUAUUAAUGGACUGGACAAUGGAGAUGGUUGGCUGGUAGGUUGGGAUCCGAAAUUAUGGUACAGCCCUAGUCGGUGAACAGUCAC
This 208-nucleotide long non-coding RNA is filed under the name Prunus persica (peach). RNAcentral's name for it is "long non-coding RNA (PPER_LNC006712)". The record is from RNAcentral. Lineage: Eukaryota; Viridiplantae; Streptophyta; Magnoliopsida; Rosales; Rosaceae.